This 209-nucleotide unclassified non-coding RNA is filed under the name Bubalus bubalis (water buffalo). RNAcentral's name for it is "minisatellite-tagged sequence". Lineage: Eukaryota; Metazoa; Chordata; Mammalia; Artiodactyla; Bovidae. The record is from RNAcentral.
ACAGACAGACAGACAGGCAGCAACACAGGGCAACAUUUUUAAAAAACACACCUGAGUUGAAAAGUGUGUGCACACUGACUAGUGAUGUAAAACAUUUAUGAUUAUCUAGAGGGGGAUGUGACAACUUAAAACAUUUUUCAUAUAUUACUGUUGCACGUGUUGUCCUAAAAUAGGCUUGCACUUCACAUGUUGUGUGUCUGUCUGUCUGU